This 433-nucleotide ribosomal RNA is filed under the name uncultured bacterium. Its description in RNAcentral is "partial 16S ribosomal RNA". It matches the Rfam family "Bacterial small subunit ribosomal RNA", at positions 29 to 507 of the family's 1533-position model. The record is from RNAcentral.
AACGAACGCUGGCGGCAGGCCUAACACAUGCAAGUCGAGCGGACCCUUCGGGGUUAGCGGCGGACGAGUGAGUAACGCGUGGGAAUAUGCCCUUCUCUACGGAAUAGUCCUGGGAAACUGGGGGUAAUACCGUAUACGCCCUUUGGGGGAAAGAUUUAUCGGGGAAGGAUUAGCCCGCGUUGGAUUAGGUAGUUGGUGGGGUAAUGGCCUACCAAGCCGACGAUCCAUAGCUGGUUUGAGAGGAUGAUCAGCCACACUGGGACUGAGACACGGCCCAGACUCCUACGGGAGGCAGCAGUGGGGAAUCUUAGACAAUGGGGGCAACCCUGAUCUAGCCAUGCCGCGUGAGUGAUGAAGGCCUUAGGGUUGUAAAGCUCUUUCAGCUGGGAAGAUAAUGACGGUACCAGCAGAAGAAGCCCCGGCUAACUCCGUG